RNAcentral lists this ribosomal RNA (304 nucleotides) under uncultured bacterium. RNAcentral's name for it is "bacterial SSU rRNA". It matches the Rfam family "Bacterial small subunit ribosomal RNA", at positions 30 to 334 of the family's 1533-position model. The record is from RNAcentral.
AUUGAACGCUGGUGGCAUGCUUAACACAUGCAAGUCGAACGGUAACAGGCUGGUGCUUGCACUGGUGCUGACGAGUGGCGGACGGGUGAGUAAAGCAUAGGAAUCUGCCUUAAGGCGGGGGAUAACUCAGGGAAACUUGAGCUAAUACCGCGUAAUACCUAUGGGUUAAAGGUUGCUUCGGCAAUUGCCUUAAGAUGAGCCUAUGUCUGAUUAGCUAGUUGGUGGGGUAAAGGCCUACCAAGGCGACGAUCGGUAGCUGUUCUGAGAGGAUGAUCAGCCACACUGGGACUGAGACACGGCCCAG